RNAcentral lists this ribosomal RNA (400 nucleotides) under uncultured bacterium. RNAcentral's name for it is "bacterial SSU rRNA". It matches the Rfam family "Bacterial small subunit ribosomal RNA", at positions 355 to 771 of the family's 1533-position model. The record is from RNAcentral.
UGGGGAAUAUUGCGCAAUGGGGGGAACCCUGACGCAGCGACGCCGCGUGAAGGAAGAAGGCCUUCGGGUUGUAAACUUCUUUGAUUGGGGAAGAAAAAUGACGGUACCCAAAGAACAAGCCACGGCUAACUACGUGCCAGCAGCCGCGGUAAUACGUAGGUGGCGAGCGUUAUCCGGAAUUACUGGGUGUAAAGGGCGUGUAGGCGGGGAUGCAAGUCAGAUGUGAAAUUCCGGGGCUCAACCUCGGCACUGCAUCUGAAACUGUGUCUCUUGAGUGCUGGAGAGGAAAGUGGAAUUCCUAGUGUAGCGGUGAAAUGCGUAGAGAUUAGGAGGAACACCAGUGGCGAAGGCGACUUUCUGGACAGCAACUGACGCUGAGGCGCGAGAGCGUGGGGAGCAA